Molecule: ribosomal RNA, 497 nt
Filed under: uncultured bacterium
Lineage: Bacteria
Description: partial 16S ribosomal RNA
Rfam family: Bacterial small subunit ribosomal RNA
Source: RNAcentral
GACGAACGCUGGCGGCGUGCCUAAUACAUGCAAGUUGAGCGCUGAAGGUUGGUACUUGUACCAACUGGAUGAGCAGCGAACGGGUGAGUAACGCGUGGGGAAUCUGCCUUUGAGCGGGGGAUAACAUUUGGAAACGAAUGCUAAUACCGCAUAAAAACUUUAAACACAAGUUUUAAGUUUGAAAGAUGCAAUUGCAUCACUCAAAGAUGAUCCCGCGUUGUAUUAGCUAGUUGGUGAGGUAAAGGCUCACCAAGGCGAUGAUACAUAGCCGACCUGAGAGGGUGAUCGGCCACAUUGGGACUGAGACACGGCCCAAACUCCUACGGGAGGCAGCAGUAGGGAAUCUUCGGCAAUGGACGAAAGUCUGACCGAGCAACGCCGCGUGAGUGAAGAAGGUUUUCGGAUCGUAAAACUCUGUUGGUAGAGAAGAACGUUGGUGAGAGUGGAAAGCUCAUCAAGUGACGGUAACUACCCAGAAAGGGACGGCUAACUACGUG